Molecule: ribosomal RNA, 497 nt
Filed under: uncultured bacterium
Lineage: Bacteria
Description: partial 16S ribosomal RNA
Rfam family: Bacterial small subunit ribosomal RNA
Source: RNAcentral
GAUGAACGCUGGCGGCGUGCCUAAUACAUGCAAGUCGAGCGAACAGACGAGGAGCUUGCUCCUCUGACGUUAGCGGCGGACGGGUGAGUAACACGUGGAUAACCUACCUAUAAGACUGGGAUAACUUCGGGAAACCGGAGCUAAUACCGGAUAAUAUAUUGAACCGCAUGGUUCAAUAGUGAAAGACGGUUUUGCUGUCACUUAUAGAUGGAUCCGCGCCGCAUUAGCUAGUUGGUAAGGUAACGGCUUACCAAGGCAACGAUGCGUAGCCGACCUGAGAGGGUGAUCGGCCACACUGGAACUGAGACACGGUCCAGACUCCUACGGGAGGCAGCAGUAGGGAAUAUUCCGCAAUGGGCGAAGGCAUGACGGAGCAACGCCGCGUGAGUGAUGAAGGUCUUCGGAUCGUAAAACUCUGUUAUUAGGGAAGAACAAAUGUGUAAGUAACUAUGCACGUCUUGACGGUACCUAAUCAGAAAGCCACGGCUAACUACGUG